AUUGAACGCUGGCGGCAGGCCUAACACAUGCAAGUCGAGCGGAUGAAGGGUGCUUGCUCCUGGAUUCAGCGGCGGACGGGUGAGUAAUGCCUAGGAAUCUGCCUGGUAGUGGGGGAUAACGUCCGGAAACGGGCGCUAAUACCGCAUACGUCCUGAGGGUGAAAGUUGGGGAUCUUCGGACCUCUCGCUAUCAGAUGAGCCUAGGUCGGAUUAGCUAGUUGUUGGGGUAAAGGCCUACCAAGGCUACGAUCCGUAACUGGUCUGAGAGGAUGAUCAGUCACACUGGAACGGAGACACGGACCAGAGGACUACGGGAGGCAGCAGUGGGGAAUAUUGGACAAUGGGCGAAAGCAUGAUACAGCCAUGCCGCGUGUGUGAAGAAGGACUUCGGAUUGUAAAGAACUUUAAGUUGGGAGGAAGGGCAGUAAGUUAAUACCUUGCUGGAUUGACGUUAACAACAGAAUAAGCACCGGCUAACUUCGUG
RNAcentral lists this ribosomal RNA (484 nucleotides) under uncultured bacterium. RNAcentral's name for it is "partial 16S ribosomal RNA". It matches the Rfam family "Bacterial small subunit ribosomal RNA", at positions 30 to 507 of the family's 1533-position model. The record is from RNAcentral.